UACUAGAGUAGCACUCGCAUAUCAAUAAGCGGAGGAAAAGAAACUAACAAGGAUUCCCCUAGUAACGGCGAGUGAAGCGGGAAGAGCUCAAAUUUGAAAUCUUAAAGGGUUUCCCUUUACGAAUUGUAGUUUAAAGAAGUGUUUUCUGUUGAGGUUUUGGUAAAAGUUCUUUGGAAUAGGACAUCAUAGAGGGUGAGAAUCCCGUAUUUGACCUUUACUUUCAACUUUGUGAUACACUUUCAAAGAGUCGGAUUGUUUGGGAAUGCAGUCCAAAAUGGGUGGUAAAUUUCAUCUAAAGCUAAAUAUUGGCGAGAGACCGAUAGCGAAUAAGUACCGUGAGGGAAAGAUGAAAAGAACUUUGAAAAGAGAGUUAAACAGUACGUGAAAUUGUCAAAAGGGAAGCGUUUGACACCAGUGUUGUUUUUCUGAAAAUCAAUUAAAGAACUGUUUAUGCUAAGCUGUUUAGACUUUAUCAGCUAUACUGUUUAGUUUUGAGCUUUUCUUUAAUGCACUUUUCAGUUAACAAGUCAACAUCAAUUUCUUUUGCUGUAAAAAAGCUUGAGGAAGGUGGCUUGAGAUUCGUCUUAAGUGUUUAUAGCCUCUUGCCUAUGCAGUCGGAGAGAUUGAGGUCUGCAGCGUAGAUCCUUCGGGGCUAAAUGCAUUUGUGCUAAGUUAUAGCAUUUUAUAGACAACUUGUUGACUAUGAUUUGUCUUGUAGCUUACUCGCUUAUGUUAUUUUACCUACGCUUAGGAUGUUGAUCUACAGAGCGAGAGU
RNAcentral lists this ribosomal RNA (775 nucleotides) under uncultured Neocallimastigales. Its description in RNAcentral is "partial large subunit ribosomal RNA". It matches the Rfam family "Eukaryotic large subunit ribosomal RNA", at positions 20 to 635 of the family's 3401-position model. The record is from RNAcentral. Lineage: Eukaryota; Fungi; Neocallimastigomycota; Neocallimastigomycetes; Neocallimastigales.